GCCUCAGAGUGCAGACUGCUACCAGUACCAGUACCAGUACCACAGUGGCAGUGAGGUCAACUGGGGAAGCAGAGAGUACAAGAUUUACCCCAUGAAGCACUGAUUGUCACCACCAGAGGGCGCAACAGGCUGCCCAAAGAUGUAGACAGAGCCAGACUGGAGCGUCACCUGUCCCCAGAGGAGUUGGUGUGACAGUGGAGGAUUUUGACCGGCUGGCUCUGUGGAAGAGGAAUGAGCUAAAGAAACAGGCCCGACUCUUUUAGUAUUGUAUGGACAUCCGUGACUGUAGGAAGCAAAGAGAAAGGUAGGAAGACUUCCACUCAGUUUCACUGCCGUGGCCGAGAACCCGUUCUAGAUCUCCUCAUACGACCAACCAAAUUCCGGUCACACCAGCGGGGACUUCUGGGAAGCCGAGGGGGAGGCCGCAGACACGUUACGCACAGAUGGACUGACAAACUGUUACACGGUUGCCGGUGCAACUGUGGCCGUGUGCUGGAGUGGAGUGUAUGUGACAGAGACUGUAGUACACUAGUGUUGUGCUUUUCUUAAGCCUGAAGGACGGAGGAAGGCAUGACUGUGCCCGUAUAGGACCACACGAGGGGAUGUCUGUGACCAGAGCCGCAGUACUACAACACAUUGAGGAGAAUUUUGGCUUUGCCUUAUUUGUGAUGCUCUCUUAGUUAUGAGUGUGCAGCACCAGCAAUCUGAAUGAGUAGAAUGUAGAUACAGUAUAUCAUUUAUGACACUUUAUCAGUGUGAACGAUGACCUGAGAAGAAGGAGUGUGUGAGCAUACAGCAUCGCUUUGCUUUGGAUUCAAAGGGGGCAUUUUGUUCACCUAUUCCCCUGUAUUUGCGCUUUCACAUUGAAUACCGUGUCCCUCUGGUUUACACUAAUUGAUACAGAAACAAACACAAGGCGAUCUGAGGUGGACACAACUUUUUCAAAUGUACGUGUGACCUGCAUAGAUGUGUGUGAAAAUGAAAACCAAAGUGAGAAUGCAAAUAUACAGAUGAGCAGAUCGGUUCCAGAACGAAACUCUAAUCAUUUUGUAGCGACAGAGAUUAUAUUCACACACAACGAAAUGCUUUGCAAGGUAUUUGCCACACUGACAAAGAUCCAGGGUUGUUGAAGACUCUACUUCCUUUGAAUAC
Xiphias gladius (swordfish) is the source of this 1152-nucleotide long non-coding RNA. RefSeq lists it as uncharacterized. The transcript is spliced from 4 exons. The record is from RefSeq and is a predicted model, not a curated record. NCBI's taxonomy places the organism in Eukaryota, Metazoa, Chordata, Actinopteri, Istiophoriformes, Xiphiidae.